This is an RNA transcript of Wyeomyia smithii (pitcher-plant mosquito), 6620 nucleotides long. It is a transcript of the gene named ubiquitin-conjugating enzyme E2 Q2, with no coding region annotated. NCBI's taxonomy places the organism in Eukaryota, Metazoa, Arthropoda, Insecta, Diptera, Culicidae. The record is from RefSeq and is a predicted model, not a curated record. The transcript is spliced from 5 exons.
UUGAGCGAACUCGAUAGCGUUAAGAGCUAAUUUCUGACGAUCCUAAAAUUAUGAAUCCAAAAAUCCUAAAAUUAUUAUUUUAAAAAUUUAAUUCGGUGAAGGAAUUUACUUAUAGUAGUUAUCAAUAAAAACCUAAAUAUUAAUGCAGUGAAAAACUUAUUUAACGGAAAUAAGUGUAUACGGCAGAGUGGUUACGAUAGUAAUUCACGUGGCAACAACUAUCGACGGAAUAAACGACAUAAAUAAAGCGCGAUACGCAAGCAACAAUUUUUUAAUUCGUUUUACACGAUGUCGACCAAGUCCGGAUCUAAAUCCUCUGCCCCCAAUAAAGGAAAUUGCUCAGCUACUCAAUCUAUAUGCACGCGUAAUGAAAGAACUCUCAGCUCUAAAGCGGAGGCUUCAAAUAAAGAACUCCUUCUCAACCCCAACUCAAAUAUUUCUAAUCGAAAAACUCCCUCGAUCAAAAGUACCCGUUCUAAAUCUUCCCGUGCGAGCUCACUAAAAGUCGGUCAGAGUUGUCGGUCCUGUUAUUGCGCAGACAAUAGUCGUAUGGUACAGUGUGACGACUAUGAUAAGUGGCAUCACUUUAAUUGCGUUGGUGUUGAUAGUCAGAUCGAGAUGGUCCCGUGGCAGUGUGUUGAGUGCGAGAAAGGGGCAGACCGAAACCGUAAAUUCGAUAAACAACCCGGAACGGCAAAUGUAGCAAACGCUAGCAGCGUAUCGAAACAAUGCGCUUCAUCUGAGAGCAAAAGGGAUCACCAAAAAUUGGGUCGAGACACGAUUAAAUCGACAGAUUCACUGUCAGUAUCGUCCAGACGAUCAUCUAUAAGGACUAUACAACGUUUAGAAUUGCAACUUCAGAAACUCGAAGCUGAGCAGACACUUCUAGAUGAGAAGAAGAACCUGAUUGAACAACAAUUCAGUGUCCUUGAGGAGUUGGCAAGUUUGAAUGAAGAAGAAGCAGAAGAAGUUGAAUCAAAAAAUGAUUCCAAGGUUCAAUAUUGGUUGAAUAGAAAGAGCGAUGCAUGCCGGAAUUGUGCUUCGUGUGAAGAGUUUGUGAAUGAGGAACAGUCAGAAAACAGCAGUGAUUCUUCUUCAGAAGAAGAGCAGGAACAACAAACAGUGCACGAUUUACCCCACCUUAAUCCAAAUAAGCGCUCUACGCCAAGGAGAAAGCACGUCAUCGAGCGGGGAACGAUUGCAACCAGCAACCAGUUCAAUUGUAGCCUGUCACGUAAUCAACUCGCCGCGCGCCAAAUUGUUGCUAAAGAUUUGCCUAUCUUUACAGGCAAUCCUGAGGAUUGGCCACUUUUCUUCUCAACCUAUAAAAGCACGACACGGAUGUGUGGUUACACGAAUGAUGAAAACAUGAUUAGACUGAGAAGUUGCCUGAAGGGUGAAGCCUUUACAGCAGUACGAAGCUAUCUGCUUUAUCCAUCAACGGUGCCGAGAGCGAUGGACGCUCUCAAACUUAGGUUCGGUCAGCCUCAAUUCAUAAUACAUUCGCAACAAUUGACGCUUGCGGUCGGAAGGAGUAUAGGCGAGAUGUUUCAUUGUUAAGCGAUCUUGUGGGGAAGCUCCCCACCUCAAUGAAGUUAGAGUGGGCGAGAUAUAUGAAAGGUUUACGAAAGGUGAAUCUGGCAGAUUUUAGUGAAUGGCUAUACAACAUCGCCGAAGACGCCUGCUUGGUCUCGGAGCCGAGAAAAAUUCAGGAGACCCUAUGUCAUGACACGCGUAAGAAAACAAAACCCUUCAUUAACACACAUGCUGAACAGCCUAGUUUGCGUAACGAAGAUUUACCUGGACCGAGUAAAAUUACGCAUAAGACGAUCGGCGAGCAAAAGAAACCUACGAUGAGAUUAUGUAUUGUCUGCAAAGGUAACUGUGCACUUUUAAUAAAAUGUAAGCGUUUUUUGGAUCUUUCUUACGAUGGAAAGUGGGCAACUAUACGCGAGGCCAGAGUCUGCCGCAAAUGUCUGAAGCAGCAUAAGGGAGGGUGUAUGUCGAAGGAAUGCGGCAUAAAUUCAACAGCUAAUAAUGAACAAGCAAACGAAGCACAGGCGUGCAACACUCAUCAGGGAGGAUCCAGUGCCAUCCUCUUUCGCUAUGUUCCGGUUGUAGUAUACGGUGAUGGUAACAGUGUACAUUGUUAUGCAUUCUUGGACGACGGAUCCUCGUUAACGCUAAUGGACCAAGACCUAGCUGAGGAGCUGAAUCUUUCAGGAGAGCCCAAUCCGCUAUGUCUCAAAUGGACAGGAGGUACACACCGUUCGGAAAACAACUCACAUAAGGUAGCGUUGGAUAUUUCUGGUCUUAAGGGUAAGCGUUUUCACUUUGAGAAUGUUCGAACAGUUAGUGAGCUUCAGCUAUCAUCUCAAUCACUCAAUGUUAAACAGCUUCAAUCUGAAUACCGUCAUCUUAGAGGUGUCCCUGCGCAAUCGUACCGAGACGUCCGCCCACGCCUGCUAAUCGGCGUUCAGCAUGCCUACGCGACACUCGUGCGAAAAAGCCGAGAAAGGAGGGUUGGUCAACCUAUUGCAAUAAACACCAAUCUUGGAUGGACUAUAUAUGGUGGAGCCUCAAACGGUCAAUCGAUGAGCAUGCUACACUACGCAUAUCAUGUCAAACAAUGCAAUCAGAUGAUGUCGAUAAGAUCAACGACAAUAUGGAACGUGCGUUAAAAGAUUUUUUUGCUAUUGAGAGCUUAGGUGUUACUUCCUCUAAUAAGGAAAUCCGCUCUCAAGAUGAUGAACGGGCCAUUCAGCUUCUACAUGAUCUCACUCAGUUCAAUGGAAAGAGAUACGAAACAGGUUUAUUGUGGAGAAACAAUAAUGUAAAAUUGCCGGACAGCAAACCAAUGGCUUUAAAGCGAAUGUAUAGCAUGCAACGGCGCAUGGAAAAGGACCCAGACUUGGCGCGAAUUCUGGACGAAAAGCUGGCGGAUUAUCUAAAUAAGGGCUAUAUACGCAAACUUACCACCGCGGAGCUGGAGGAAAACCACAGACGUGUUUGGUACUUACCUGUAUUUCCAGUGACUAAUCCAAAUAAACCAGGCAAGGUUAGGCUUGUCUGGGAUGCGGCUGCUGUGGUGAAUGGUGUCUCGUUAAAUUCAUCUCUACUUGCUGGUCCUGAUUUGUUAACUUCGCUAGUUUCUGUCCAACAAGUUCCGCGAGCAUCGUUUCGCAAUAUGCGGUGACAUUCGCGAAAUGUUCCACCAAGUUAAAAUUCGUAAUGAAGACCAGCACAGUCAGCGCUUCUUAUGGUGGGACAGCGAAAAAACUCAAUACCUAUGCGAUGCAGGUGAUGACGUUUGGGGCAUGCUGCUUACCCGCGAGCGCGCAAUUUAUAAAGAACCUGAACGCAGAGCGUUUCAGUGAAGAUCUGCCAGCCGCUGCGAAAACGAUAGUACAAUGUACGUACGUUGAUGAUAUGUUGUGUAGUGAGGAAACGGAAGAAAAGGUCAUCGAAUUGGCGAAAUCAGUCCGAUUUAUCCACGAGCAAGGCGGCUUCGAAAUCCGUAAUUGGACAUCAAAUUCGAGGUCAGUUCUGGCUGCACUUAAGAGUGAGACGUGUUUAUCAAAAAACCUCGAUCUAUCAUCUAGUCUGGCAACUGAAAAGGUUUUAGGCCUCUGGUGGUGUACCGAUUCAGAUUGCUUCACCUUUAGAAUAAAUUGGAGCAGAUUAGGAGAAGAUCUACUAAAGGCAAAGCGGCGUCGCGGGAAAAGGGAGGUUCUGCGAACUAUGAUGUCUAUAUAUGACCCGCUAGGUCUUGCAGCACAUUAUCUCAUGUAUCUCAAAAUGCUUUUCCAAGAGAUCUGGCGAUCUGGUGCUAGUUGGGACGACGAGAUCAAUCAGCAAUGCCUUGAAAAAUGGCAGACAUGGCCUAAGCUUCUACCCGAAAUAGAGAAUUUAAAGAUUCCACGAUGCUACAGACUCCGAACGUCAGCUGGUCAAGAAACGGAAAUUCAGUUGCAUACAUUCGUCGAUGCCGGUGAGAAUGGUAUGACAGCCGCUGUAUAUCUUCGCUAUGCAGAAAAAGGGAAGGUCGAAUGCUCACUUGUUGGCGCGAGAACCCGCGUAGCACCGCUCAAAUAUCUCACCAUCCCAAGACUGGAGCUUCAGGCGGCGGUAAUUGGGGCAAGACUAGCCCACCUUAUCAGUGAAGGAUUAACCAUUAGCAUCACAAAAUAUGUAUAUUGGUCAGAUUCAAGGAACGCGCUUUCGUGGAUAAAAGCUGAUCACCGUAGAUACAGACAGUUUGUGGCUACACGUGUAAGUGAAAUUCUGGAUUUGACUAACGUUUCUGAUUGGAACUGGGUUCCUACGAAGUGUAACGUGGCGGAUGAGGAAACAAAAUGGAGAAGUCGUCUAGUACUAACGAGUGACAGCAAAUGAUAUAAAGGACCUGACUUUCUCUAUCAACGCGAGGAAGAAUGGCCAGUGACACCGGACAAAAUGGUUGAACCUAUGGAUGAACUACGAGCGAAUAUUCACGGGCACACCGAGACUCAGAGGAUGGCAGUUCCGAUUAACAACUUUCAAAGUCUGAGAGGUAUGGUCCGAGCAACUGCACUCGCCAUUCGGUUUCUGAGGAACGCACGUCCGAAAUGCUUCACUCGAAUUAGUGGUGGUCUAACCAGUGAAGAAAUCCGCAAUGCUGAGGUUUUCCAUUUCCAUGCUGCGCAACAGGACGCCUUCCGAGAAGAGCUUUCUGUUCUAAUGAAAAACGAUCCCAGGCUAUUACUUCCCAAACGAAGCCCGCUUUAUAAACUUAAUCCCUUUGUCGAUGAGCAUGGAUUGAUUCGUAUGCGAGGCAGAACCGGACUGUGCGAGUUUCUGCCUCGGGAUGCUGUAAAUCCCAUAAUACUUCCUCGAGAACAUCCUGUCACACACCUUGUUGUCAAAAGCUACCACGAAAAGUUUCACCAUCGAAAUCAUGAAUCGGUCAUUAAUGAGAUCCGACAGAGAUUCUGCAUCAGUCGAUUACGCAGAGUAUAUGCGAAAAUAAGAUUCGAUUGCCUACACUGCAAGCUGCGAGAUGCUCGCCCACGCCCUCCACAAAUGGCUGAUCUGCCUCGCUGUCGUUUAGCAGCGUUCGUUCGUCCGUUCACUCACACCGGGGUAGAUUACUUUGGUCCCAUGGAAGUUGCAAUAGGGAGGAGGGUUGAGAAGAGAUGGGGAGUUCUUUUUACAUGCCUUUUUAUCCGUGCUGUUCAUAUUGAAGUAGCUAGCUCACUUACCACAAACUCUUGCAUUAUGGCAAUAAGAAAUUUCAUUGCACGCCGAGGAACUCCAGCCAUAUUCUAUAGUGACCGGGGAACAAACUUUAUUGGUUCGGACCGUGAACUGAAGCAGGCAUUAGAAAAGGUUGAUCAACAUAAAAUGGCCCAAGAGUUUGUGUCCUCGGAGACAUCCUGGCGCUUCAAUCCUCCAGCAGCUCCCCAUAUGGGAGGGAGCUGGGAGCGACUUAUACAGUCUGUCAAGCGAACUUUAUCUGAGCUACACCUGUCUCCCCGCCCAAGUGAUGAAGGGCUCAGAAACGCGUUGAUCGAAGUAGAGGGUAUCUUGAAUGCCCGACCACUCACUCACGUACCCAUAGAAGACGAAGCCAGUCCAGCUCUCACUCCAAACCAUUGGCUUCUGGGAAGCUCAGAUGGGGCCAAGCCAUGGUCACUUCUCGAUGAGAACUCUAUUGCUUUGAGACGUGGUUGGCAUUUGUCCCAAAAAUUCGCAAACCAAUUUUGGACCAGAUGGCUUCGAGAAUACCUUCCAGAAAUUACCAGGCGCUCGAAAUGGCAUCGAAGGGUUCGGCCAAUCGCUGAAGGAGACAUCGUUCUAAUCGUCGAUCCAAACUCCCCAAGGAAUUGCUGGCCAAAGGGGCGGGUCAUUGGUACAGUGAAUCGCGAUGGACAGGUACGGACUGUGACCAUUAAAACGUCAACUGGUAUAUACGAGAGACCAGCUGUGAAGGUGGCAGUGCUUGACAUAGAGCAUGAGACAAAAUUAGCUGACUCAGAGGCGGAGUCAGCGAACUAGGGGGGAGUGUCAUCGGAGCUGGGUGGUUCUGUGUGCACCUCCUCAUAGCGCAUCACACAUGCAGAAAGAGACGUCAUCAUGACAGUUUAGCGGAAAGAGCGAGAGAGAAAUGAUAGAUACGUCAGCGUAUCUGCUGACUUGCAGAAAUAGAAAUUGAGCGAACUCGAUAGCGUUAAGAGCUAAUUUCUGACGAUCCUAAAAUUAUAAAUCCAAAAAUCCUAAAAUUAAUAUUUCAAAAAUUUAAUAAUUAAUAAAAACCUAAAUAUUAAUGCAGUGAAAAACUUAUUUAACGGAAAUAAGUGUAUACGGCAGAGUGGUUACGGUGAGCGAGGUAAACUGAAUUUAUUGUAUUUCUUACAAAUUAAUUUAAUAUUCAGAUAGUAAUUCACGUGGCAACAACUAUCGACGGAAUAAACGACACACAGAGACGGAAAAGAUAAUCGAAGCACUAAAACGAAACAUACCCCUCCACGCCGCCAGUAUGGUUUGCCGAGAGCGAAGAAACCAGUAUAACCAACGCUGUACAAAUACUUACAAACACCCGUGGCCACGAUAAUCAUGUUAUAAAUCAGGUCGAUAUACUG